Molecule: long non-coding RNA, 1608 nt
Organism: Drosophila virilis
Lineage: Eukaryota; Metazoa; Arthropoda; Insecta; Diptera; Drosophilidae
Source: RefSeq, a predicted model, not a curated record
AAAAUGGACUAGAAAUAGUUUCUAUUUUCCUUUUAAAAUUUCUAAUUUGCUAAUGAUGUAUAAGUGCGUAUAUGUGAGAGUGUGUGUGUGUUUGUGUGUGUGUGUGUGUAAAGUAACUUUAGCUCUAAGUCCAUGGGCUCAACAUGAAAGCUGAAAUCCCUCUGUCCACCAGGCUAGCCAGGAAAACCCUGCACGUUCUCUGUGAGGAUGAUGAAUUUGGACAUUUUGUGUGCGCAAAGUCACUUGCUUAAAAGUUAUUAGGGAUUAAAAGAGUUGCGGCUGUGGACACAAAUGCGCUUCGGAAUCUGCUUCAUUAGAGACAGAGGCCAUUGCAUGGGACAUGGAACUGUACAGGCAGGACAUGUGUGUAGUCUGUGUGUGUGUGGACGUCCUGCAGAACGGUCCCAAAGAAAACGCAGCAGCACCAAAACUUUGCGCAGUCAUGCCUCCUGAAUACCGCCCCCAAAUCCACCUGAACCCAACCAAAAAGCCCAAGUUUUUGCCGGAGAAAGCGUGAACGAUUAUGACUACCAAUCCUGACUGCUCCUGACUGGCUCUGAUGGCAGGCAGCGUGGCGUUUUAAUAUUGGCCGCUGUAACUUUUGAGACAUCUUAAUUCCCUUCGAGAUAAAUCAAAAAUGGGUAACCAGAUCAGCGAGUGUAUCCAUUGAGUCCGGGGGCUGGUUUUUGCUACACCAAAUUUGUAUUUUUAUUUACAUUUUCAACUUAUGCAUUUUUAUGAGCUGCGCUUUGUGUGGGUGUAAGUGUGUAUGGAUGUGUAUGUGUGUGUGUGUGUGUGUGUGUGGUUUAUCCUUUCAUAAAUGCGUCCAACGGCCAACUGAUUUAUGCCACCACAAGCUGGCGCUGCUGGCAGCCGGUUGCAUCUAUUGACCCCCUUGCCACACCGGCGCUGGCAGUCGCUUCCUGACGACGUCGACGGCAACAAAGUAACAAAACAGCAAACAAAAAUUCCAGAAACAACAUAAAACCGAUUGAUUUAUUUUGACAAUGCUCCAUGCAGUAGUGCCUAGCUACACACGGAACCCAAGUCGGAGUCAGAGUCAGAGUUGGUGGGUCUGAGGCCAAGUCCGGCUGCCAUUGUUUGCACAGGCGUCGCUCGGCCCCAUCGACAUGUUCCAUUCGCAUUUCGGACCGUCAGCAGCACCAGCCCCAACCAUAGCCCAGACUCAGUCCCUGUCCCGGCCGCCCCCAUCACCUUGCCUGCAAAGUUGUCCUCUUUGUCGGUUUGUAAAAUAUUUUAUUUGCACAUCUUUCUUAUUUUAAUCCUUCAUUGCAUUCUGUUUGGUUUGGGCGCCUUGAGCUCCACCCCGGGUUCGGUCUGCAUGCAGCCAGUGUGGGGGAGCGGGAGCCGGUACGAAUACAAUUCCGACUUCGUGUGUUUCUAUGUUGCGGCAAAUGCCCAUAAAACACACGUUAAUUACCCUACAGUAGCCAAGCCCCAAACCCGAAAUCAAGCUUUAUCAUUUAUCCCUGCAAAAUUAUUUAAUGCAAACAAAAAAUUAUCUCGUAGCGUUCCCGGGCGUUACUAUCCGUCCCACCAAGAUAAGCUAACCACAUUCUCUGAAUUGAUGGAUUAUCCGUAAAGCAA